This 24-nucleotide non-coding RNA is filed under the name Mus musculus (house mouse). Lineage: Eukaryota; Metazoa; Chordata; Mammalia; Rodentia; Muridae. The record is from RNAcentral.
UACUGUUGAGGGCUGGCCUUGAGC